This 3204-nucleotide unclassified non-coding RNA is filed under the name Leishmania donovani. RNAcentral describes it as "gene:LdHU3.36.5860(CDS-product:Amastin_surface_gl ycoprotein_putative)". The record is from RNAcentral. Lineage: Eukaryota; Euglenozoa; Kinetoplastea; Trypanosomatida; Trypanosomatidae.
ACGCACAAACAAUAUCCAUUGAAACUAAGCAAGAGCAUACGCAUUUAUUUCUCGUAUCAUAUUCUGUUUUCUUCUCUGUUAUCUUCACCGACUUCUGUUUUUUUUUUUGCGUUUUCCAAGUUUCCUCGCACUACUUCACGCUUCCUCCUCCACCUUCUCUCUCUCCCCCCCACCACUCGUUGGCUUUACGCCUUGUGCUGGAGGGCGAAUCAGCUGCACCACGCAGACGCUUACAGAUAUUAUUGCUUGAUAUAUGUAGGGCACCGCUGCCGCUCUCUGCCUCAUUGCCCUCUCUCGACAAAGAAAAUGCUCAUAAUCCGCUUUGUUCUGCUGGUGCUGAUCCUCGUGUUCUUCGUCAUUGCUCUCGUUGGCACGGUAUCCCUGCCCCUGUACUCGAACAGGAUCACGAGCUACAACCAGGAUGGAAAGGUGGAGGUGUCGCUGUGGAACAUUGUGGUGGGCAAGGUGACGGUGACGGGCGAGAACUCGACAAAUGUGCCGACCUCUAUGCCGGUCCGCAUCAACUAUGCCGGCUGCGAAGAGUUUCGCGCUACGUUCCGCGCCAUGCAAGCCUUCGCGAUUGGCGGCACUGUCUUUGGCUUCUACGCGCUGCUCGUGUCCUGCUUGCAGUGUUUCUGCCGCCUGAAGGUCAAGCUGCCGCUGUUUCUCUUCCUCUUCCUGGCCAUGCUUUGCGAGCUGUGCGUCGUCUUCAUUGGCGGCGCAGCGUACAGCAAGGAGUUCUGCAAGAACCUAGACAAGAACGGCAACCUCACCACCGUCAUCUUCAAGGGCGCGGGCUACAAGCUCGACACCGCCUUCAUUCUUCAGGUGGUGGCACUGGUGGGGUAUGCGAUUUGCACCAUCAUCACCCCCUUCACCCAACAGCUCUGGUGCGGCAAGUCCUAAGCGCUUCAACCGCGUGCUAUGGCGUAGGUGAAGCCGUCAAGGUGGGUGAGCAAGAUGGGAACACUAACGAAAAUCUUCAGCGAAGGAAAGUCGAUGACGGAUGAGGGGGAGGGGACGGAGCAGAAAAGAACUAGUGGAUCUUCACGGCUACACAUGCUUGUUGCAUGUGUCUUUUGCCUGUCCUUGCCUUGUCACCAUUGAAGCCCACUUCCUCGGCGUGCUGUUCCUACCCCCCCACCACCACCACCACCUCAAGAGAGCCGCCCUCGUUGCAGACUUUCUGGCGCUCUUCUGUUUUGCAUCUCUAAAGCACUGUCUUAUACUUUGAGUACAGAGCAAGAAACGUUUCCGCCGUAUAAUACCUCUGUAUGUGCCCCUGAAACACAGAUACAGACCGGAAAAGGGGGCCGUCGCAUCACACUCGGGCGUGUACUCUCUGGCAGCAGCACCUUUUUUUUUUGGUGCUGCUUCCGUCCUCGUUCGUGUAUGUGUGUGGUUGGGCGGGUGUUGGCGCGAGUAUUUGCGGCCCUUUUCGUCUUGCCUUUUUUGUGUUACUUGCUCGUUUGCAUUCACUUUUCUGCGGAUUUUUCAAGCGUGGAUAUGCCCGCCCCCUUCUCGCCCCUCUUCUCCUGUGAUGGCUGCUUGCUCUCUUCCAUCUCGACGCUUGCAUGCCUGCGUGCAGGUAUGCGCCCCUUGUACUGUCACGUCACACAAAACGGUGCCUUCUAGCACGCGCACGCGCACAUAGGCAAUCAUGAGAGAGGCGGCCCAGACUCACCGGCGAGCAGUCCCAUCGGGUAUACCAAGGGGCGUCUCUCUCUGCUCUUCCUCUCUCGCUUUCUUUCACACAUCCGGACGCGCAGUCAUGUUGGGGGCGCAACGGCGUCGUUCAGCGUCAUUAAUGGACUAGCUUUCCCUCUUCUUCCCCCUUCAUUGGGCUUCUUCUACUGCUUUGCUAUUUCUUGUUCUUUGUGCCGUCUCUUUAUUCUUCUGCUCCCCAGGGCGUCGUUUUUUUUUUCAUCUAUUCAGCUCUGGCCUUGUGUAUCCAUGUGCCCGGGUCAUGACUGCAUUUAUAAGCAUUGCGUGUGUGCUUGUGUGUGUGUGUGUCUGUGUGUAGGCCAUUCCCCAUGUUUCUUGUGUGUUCCUGAAUGGCCUGUUUCUCUUUUCUUUUUCUUUCAUGUGGCCCAUAUGUGUCUGGCGUCUGCGCUGGGGCACCGCAAGUGCCCAUUGGGUAAAGAGUGCUGGUGCGUUUGCAUACGUGUGUACACCGGGUAUCUGCGUUGCGUCGCGCAUAGUUGCACACUACCUCAUGUGUGAAGUUUUCUUUCCUUCUGUGAUGACUCGGUCGUGCUUCUUCUUUUUGUGAAGACGAGGGAGGAGGGAGAAGUGAGGAUGGGGCGUUGCUCCCUCUUCUGUCUCCGUCGCUCUGUUUCGCUCUUUUUUGUGUUUUUAUUUUAUUUUAUUAUUAUUAUUGUAUGUGCCAAAGGGGUUUUGCGGAUGCAGAUCUGUUGUUUUUUUUUGUUUUUUUUUUUUUUUGGUCCGACAAACAAUGAACAUGAGGCACGCGGAGAGCGGCGUAGACAAGCACUUCAAAGAUGGUCGCUCACACACUCGCUCCCUUUCUAGCCUACUUGGGCCUCUGUGUCUUUGCUGUGUGCCACAUAUGUUUUGUGCGAGUUUAUGUAUGUUAUUGUGUUUUGUUUCGUACGGUUUAUGUGUUUGGGUUGCUUCCUGUGCACGUGAGUUCCCCUUCCCUCCAUACUUUUUUUUCGUCUCCUUCGGUCUUUCUCUUGCUGAUUUCGUCAUGCCGCUUUUCUCGGUAAUGAGUUUUCACUUGAGGUGGGGUGUGGAGGGAGGGGGUCUAUCCGGUUGCACUCCACGGCCCUCCUCGCUACCGGCACCAUCAUCACUCGCCUGUCCAAAUGUUCUCAGGCCUCUUCUCUCCGGUGUCCUUCCUUGUCUACCCUCCGCCGUUCCAGGCGUGCGCCGCACGGAUGCGGUCCCCGCAAACAAAAAAUCUCACGGCAUCCACCCUAGCGCCGGCGGAGAGGCAGACGCGGCAGCAGAUGAUCGGUGGGGAUGAACAAGAAGGCGGCAGAAAAGGGGAAAGCUAGCUGCCCCUUUGCAUUAUGGUGCAGCGCGUCGACUGCGUCGUCGACAACGAUGCCUCACUCUUUCGCGCUCUUGGCCUCUUUGACUGCAGCCGCAUCUGCAUGAACGCGCACAUAGCAUUCAUCGGUGUAUCGCUUUUUCUUUUUUUUCGGCGCGUCUUUUUUUUUUGCUUUUCACUAUUUGAAG